GCAGAUGUGGCGAAAUUGGCAGACGCACUAGAUUUAGGUUCUAGCGCCGAGAGGCGUGGGGGUUCGACUCCCUUCAUCUGCACCA
RNAcentral lists this transfer RNA (85 nucleotides) under Proteiniclasticum sp. Its description in RNAcentral is "tRNA-Leu". It matches the Rfam family "tRNA". From Rfam's summary of the family: Transfer RNA (tRNA) molecules are approximately 80 nucleotides in length. Their secondary structure includes four short double-helical elements and three loops (D, anti-codon, and T loops). Further hydrogen bonds mediate the characteristic L-shaped molecular structure. tRNAs have two regions of fundamental functional importance: the anti-codon, which is responsible for specific mRNA codon recognition, and the 3' end, to which the tRNAs corresponding amino acid is attached (by aminoacyl-tRNA synthetases). tRNAs cope with the degeneracy of the genetic code in two manners: having more than one tRNA (with a specific anti-codon) for a particular amino acid; and 'wobble' base-pairing, i.e. permitting non-standard base-pairing at the 3rd anti-codon position. RNAcentral also lists the same sequence under 1 other name. The record is from RNAcentral. Lineage: Bacteria; Bacillati; Bacillota; Clostridia; Eubacteriales; Clostridiaceae.